Danio rerio (zebrafish) is the source of this 117-nucleotide ribosomal RNA. The record is from Ensembl. Lineage: Eukaryota; Metazoa; Chordata; Actinopteri; Cypriniformes; Danionidae.
UGUCACUUCCAUAUCACUCUGCUGCCCACGACCGGUUACUCACUGAAGCUAAACAGGGCUGAGCCUGGUUAGUACCUGGAUGGGAGACCACAUGAGAAGACUAGGUUGCUGUUCAAA